CACAAAUACAAAGCAGAGAGCAAAUUGGUGGUAAAACUGAGCAACCCAAGUGAGGAAAAUGGCAUCAGUCAACCCAGAGCCAGAGAAGGCAAUGAAGAAGAAGCCAAAGAUUGCAUCUGUGUUUCCAGCAAAGAGGAGGUCAGUGAAAAAGAUGAUGUUUGAUUCCAUUGUCCAAUCUGUGUCCUCUUCUCUCCCUCCUCACCCUCCUCUCCCUCGUUCAUCAGAUCCCAACAAGACUGAUACCAUAUCAUAGGACUAAUUGUGUGUUUUACAAUCAAAAAUCAAUAGAAUUGUAUAAAUACCAAAUAAGUCCUUGCGAUGGUCAUGUAUCAGAAUUUGCCCUAAUACUAUUAAAAAGGGCUUGUAAUGUUUUCUUGUCUGUGCUGUGUGUAAUUAAAGUUUUAAUUAUUCAUUUCUAAUCAAUUGCCCAAUUGAUAUAUAAUGUGUAGCAUUGGGG
This 457-nucleotide long non-coding RNA is filed under the name Prunus dulcis (almond). Its description in RNAcentral is "sRNA ncRNA". Lineage: Eukaryota; Viridiplantae; Streptophyta; Magnoliopsida; Rosales; Rosaceae. The record is from RNAcentral.